UCAGACGUGACUACCCGCUGAACUUAAGCAUAUCAUUUAGCGGAGGA
RNAcentral lists this ribosomal RNA (47 nucleotides) under Pratylenchus zeae. RNAcentral describes it as "partial 28S ribosomal RNA". RNAcentral also lists the same sequence under 1 other name. Lineage: Eukaryota; Metazoa; Nematoda; Chromadorea; Rhabditida; Pratylenchidae. The record is from RNAcentral.